GGAGGCGUGUUCCGAAUUGGCUAAGGAGCCGGUCUCGAAAACCGGUGAGGGUUACACCCUCGUGUGGGUUCGAGUCCCACCGCCUCCGCCA
This 91-nucleotide transfer RNA is filed under the name Marinitoga lauensis. It matches the Rfam family "tRNA". From Rfam's summary of the family: Transfer RNA (tRNA) molecules are approximately 80 nucleotides in length. Lineage: Bacteria; Thermotogati; Thermotogota; Thermotogae; Petrotogales; Petrotogaceae. The record is from RNAcentral. RNAcentral also lists the same sequence under 1 other name.